Molecule: ribosomal RNA, 139 nt
Filed under: uncultured bacterium
Lineage: Bacteria
Description: partial 16S ribosomal RNA
Source: RNAcentral
UGACACGCCACGCCGCGUGAGCGAAGAAGGCCUUCGGGGUGUAAAGCUCUUCUUCAGGGAAGAAAUGACGGUACCUGACUAAGAAUUGCCGGCCCAUACGAGUAAGGAGCCGCUGUUCUGAGCCAGCCGCCGCGGUAAU